UUUGUACUCCCUCCGUCCGAAAAUACUUGUCAUAGAAAUGGAUAAAAAUGGAUGUAUCUNNNNNUAAAAUACAUCUAGAUACAUUUAUUUCUCCGACAAGUAUUUUCGGGCGGCGGGAGUAUCAA
This is a non-coding RNA of Hordeum vulgare subsp. vulgare (domesticated barley), 125 nucleotides long. The record is from Rfam. NCBI's taxonomy places the organism in Eukaryota, Viridiplantae, Streptophyta, Magnoliopsida, Poales, Poaceae.